CACUGACUCAGACGUACUUAUAAAUAUAAUUAUUUUCUGUGACUGUAUCUUGCAUUAAUUUGUAGGAUCCUUUACUAUAGAUAAUUGAGCUGAUCUGUGACAAUAACAUCUCCAUGCCUUAUAUAUCAUGUACUGUAGUACGACGCUAGAUUAAAACUGACGAGGAAAGGUAACACACGGCCACCGAAAGCUUUAUUAUUGUGAAGC
RNAcentral lists this long non-coding RNA (207 nucleotides) under Mytilus galloprovincialis (Mediterranean mussel). Lineage: Eukaryota; Metazoa; Mollusca; Bivalvia; Mytilida; Mytilidae. The record is from RNAcentral.